RNAcentral lists this ribosomal RNA (373 nucleotides) under uncultured organism. Its description in RNAcentral is "partial 16S ribosomal RNA". It matches the Rfam family "Bacterial small subunit ribosomal RNA", at positions 527 to 896 of the family's 1533-position model. The record is from RNAcentral.
GUAGGUGGCAAGCGUUGUCCGGAAUUAUUGGGCGUAAAGCGCGCGCAGGCGGUCCUUUAAGUCUGAUGUGAAAGCCCACGGCUCAACCGUGGAGGGUCAUUGGAAACUGGGGGACUUGAGUACAGAAGAGGAAAGCGGAAUUCCACGUGUAGCGGUGAAAUGCGUAGAGAUGUGGAGGAACACCAGUGGCGAAGGCGGCUUUCUGGUCUGUAACUGACGCUGAGGCGCGAAAGCGUGGGGAGCAAACAGGGAUUAGAUACCCUGGUAGUCCACGCCGUAAACGAUGAGUGCUAAGUGUUAGGGGGUUUCCCGCCCCUUAGUGCUGCAGCUAACGCAUUAAGCACUCCGCCUGGGGAGUACGGCCGCAAGGUUG